This 2658-nucleotide long non-coding RNA is filed under the name Sus scrofa (pig). RNAcentral describes it as "lncRNA (ENSSSCG00025043137.1)". Lineage: Eukaryota; Metazoa; Chordata; Mammalia; Artiodactyla; Suidae. The record is from RNAcentral.
GACCUCCUACCCUCGAGAUGAAAAGGAGUGGAAAGGCCACACUGCCCGUCUUGGAGCUGAGGUGACCGAGGCUAGAAGUACCCAUGGUUCAUCAACAAAAGCUCUGAAGAAGGUGGUCUUUGGAACUCCAGGUCAUUUUUCCCGGAACAAUUUCAGCUGCUCACAAAAAUCUGAACCGAUGGGGGUCGCAGCUCUUGUCUGAGAAGCGGGGCUGCGUGGUCCUGCGGAAGCUGGAGUGAGCCCCGGGGGAGCCGGAGCAGGUGGGGGGGGGGGCUUGCGAGCGAAGCCCCGCCCACGUCCUCCCAGACCUCAGCAGCCCCGCAGCCCCGCAGCCUCUCUGCUCCCAGAUCCGCAGCUCCUCGUCUGCGCUCCUGUGGUUCACAGGCCCCUCGGGAUACCCCGAUGGGUGGUGCUGAGGGAAGAGGCCGUCCGCCGGAACUCAUGGCAAGCAAGGCAGAGACUAGAGACCGCCUUAGAUGUCUAAGCUCUGCCGCACUCCCGUCCACGGCCGCGGCCCCGUCCCGUUUUGCCCUGCUCUCCAUCAGCGUCCAUGCCUUUGCUCUCCACGCAGCCGCUCCGCCUCUUAAACCCCAGCCCGGGCGUCCCGGCCUCCCUUUCCUUGCUCUGCACGCCAAGAAGUCCCCUCUGUCCUUCCCCCGCCUCGUCCUUGCCUUGGGCCUUGCACAUGAAGACGAGCACGCAGCGUGGGCACGAAGUCACUGCGCAGCGCAGCUACUGAGGUGCGAUUUCCACGCGAAUCUUGGCCGCUGACAAAAAAGGAGCAUCCGCCGCUGUUCCUUCUCCUCUCUCCUCCGUAUGUGACUGUCAAACCACCCACCGCCUCCCUUCACAGGAAGAGACAACUCUGGGACUGAGCACCAACUGUCUGAGGACUUCUCUGGGUGACUGCGACUCAAUGGCUGCUAACAAGUCACGCGUAAAGAGCAAGACAAAAAUGUGCCAGAGCAGACGCCCGUACACUGUCAUGUACCGGAAAAUGAAAACUUCUCAUAGAAGUUACGCCAAUUCAGACGGCUAAUGACCCGACAAAAGGCAAAAUAUGUGCAUUUUUAGUGACAGUGGGCAUGGUUUUAGGUGCGUCAAUUAUUUCACCAGGAUUUAGAAACCCGACCUACCCGCCAACUCCUAGAAAAGUAAUGACAAACUUAAAAUCCUGAAAUGUUUUAUGAUCGGCCAAAAAGACAGCUGAAGAAAACAGAAUGGAAUGGAGACCUUUCACAAGAUGCCCCACAAGAGCAGAGGUGAGGCAGCUGUACGUCUUGCCGGUGCUCUGUGCACGCCCACCUGCCCCUGGAAGCACCUCCACAAGUGUGUAAGAGCAUCCCAGAAGCCGCCAGUGGGCAGCAGGCAAGGAGCUCGCUGCGCCGCGGUCAAGGAAGGUGUGGGUGCUGGGGUCCACGUGACCGACACACAGUGCUUCUCCUUAAGGACCAGACAUCCCCACUUCUGAAAGACCCUAACUUGAGGAUUCUUCAGAAUUCUCUAGAAGCCGCUGACUACAGAAGCAGACACCUCCUACCCAAGACAGUGAAACGAGACUUUCUUCAUUAGUGAGUCUAGCUGAUUUACAACGCUGUGGCAGAACAAGGCUGUUUCUGAUUCAUGCGCCACUUUUCUGUCCUUUGCUUGGCCGAUCUUACCUAUCAGCACAGCCGGGCCACUGUCAGGACAGUAACAGGAGUUUCCUUAUCUUCAUCCUGUUACUCGUAUCCCCUAAGGUCUCCGGUUUCUACCUCGGGACUCAGAGAACUCUCCGGAACAUGUUCCCGACCCUCGACCCUCGACCCUCAACCCUGGGGGAUUGCUCCAGACGACCCUCUGCUGGACCUGACGCCCGCCGCCCGCCGGCUGUCCUUACAAGCACGGUCAAGAAUACGCCGUCCUUUCACGUGGCCUUUAGCAAAGGGCCUCAGUCACGCAGGCGCACGCGUUCCGCAACACUCUCUUCCACCGCCGUCUAUCCCAGGCGACUGGACAGAGCUGCCUGUGCCGCGCAGUCGGACUUCGUUGCCUACCCACUCUCCACGUGAUCGUUUGCAUCCACGGUGUAUCUGUUGUGAGGUUCUCCACGGACACCCUCGCCAUCCUUAAGGGUGUACACGGUUUCCUUGUCUCCAACUGGCUCGUCUGCCUCCUGCUUUUACCGCACUGAUGGGGGCCUCCGACCCAGCGCGGUCCAGGGAGAGCAGACAGGCGCCUUCCCACCACAGGGGCCCAGCGGUGCGGAGGCACGGGACGGACGACGCUGUUAACGAUGCUUUUUUGUACACGGAUUUUUCUUAGAAUGAGGACAUCUCACUUUGUUCUAGUACAUUUUUUUUUUUUUAAAUCAAGUUUGGAUGUUGAAUUUUAUUAAUAUGUUUUCCUGCAUCAAAUGAGAUGAACUUUAUAAAUAUUUACCUCAACUUUUGAGGUGAAUUACAACGACUGAUUUUUAAAUGUUGAAUUCAUGUGUGUACCUGAAAUAAACUGUUGGCAAUAAUGCAUCAUCUUUCAUUGAAUCAGGAAUGUUUCUAUUUUUAAAUAAUGUUUGGCCCAGUGUUUCUGGGAGAUUUUGCCUAUUUUUUCUUUCCUGGUAGUGUUUUUGCCAUAUUUUGGCAUCACAAUUAGGCUUGCUGAAUAAAACCAUUUGAAAGU